GGCUCGGUAGCUUAGUUGGUUAAGCGCUCGUCUAGCAUACAAGAGUCCUGGGUUCAAAUCCCAGCCGAGCAC
This 72-nucleotide transfer RNA is filed under the name Aedes aegypti (yellow fever mosquito). It matches the Rfam family "tRNA". From Rfam's summary of the family: Transfer RNA (tRNA) molecules are approximately 80 nucleotides in length. The record is from Rfam by way of RNAcentral. Lineage: Eukaryota; Metazoa; Arthropoda; Insecta; Diptera; Culicidae.